RNAcentral lists this long non-coding RNA (3009 nucleotides) under Brachypodium distachyon (stiff brome). Its description in RNAcentral is "long non-coding RNA (BDIS_LNC001712)". Lineage: Eukaryota; Viridiplantae; Streptophyta; Magnoliopsida; Poales; Poaceae. The record is from RNAcentral.
UGAAGGGUGCUAAUGAAGCAUGCAGGUCUCUUAAGUCCAGGAAUGAAUGGAUUGGACAGUAAACUGUUCUCUCUUCAUGGUGCAGACAUUUCGAGGACCGUCAAUAGAAAUUGCAGGGACACAGAGGAAUAUAUUUGACUGGUGAGUCUGUUGGACCCAAGCCUUCUUAAGCUGAAAACACUUAUUUCUAUGAGUACCUAUUGUCUAGAUAUGAUACCAAUGGUAAGAGUCUAUUUAUCAGAGAAUAUGCAAGUAUACCCUGAAACUGAUUGUGUUCUAGUUAUAAUGACUAAUGAGUCGACCAUGAAUAGAAAUUAAAGUUUUCAUGGAAGAAACGAUGCUCGGGGGUAGCUUCUUGCUUAUCAGAUGAGCUGGCUACACAGCAACUCCAUAUACUUUCUGAACAAUUACCUGUUGCUAGAUAUGCUCGACUUCAUUGGGGCAAAUUUAUGCUGGUGUUAUUGUAUGCAUAUCUGAACACCUAGGUUGAUUUAGUGUUUAGCAUGCUGAACACAAAUAAACAACCUAGCUUGGUGCAUAAUUUUAAUGAUAAAAAAAAGUAGUACAGUACAAAACAAAAUAUAAUGCUGAAAGUGAUUCUGACUAUCUAUUGGAUUGCAACUAUAUAAUUCAUGGAAAUAAAAAUAAUUCUGUUAAUUGAAAUCAAAACAAGAGUCCUAGUGAAAUUCAGACACGAGAGUUCAUAAUGUGUUUCUGCCAAGGUAUACUGACAUGCUGCAGUGGAUUCAGUUAUCUAAAUGACAGUAACUGCAGAGAAUUUUUCCAACUAACUUAGGAUGUCUGAGGCAAUUUUAUUGAGUGUCAUUACUCACUUCCAUGUUUCUGGAAUAUAGAUAUACUUCCACCUCUACUAGGUGUAUGUACCUCCACCUCUACUAUACCACUUCCAUGUUUCUGGAAUUUCCAACAUACUACUCUUUUGUACUCCUAGGUGUAUGUACUUCCACCUCUACUAUACCACUUACACGACUUUGUUAUUCUUCUUUAUCAAUUUGGAUAUACUUCACUGAUUAUUAUAACAUACUCCAAAGUGAACUGCAUCAAAAAGUAUAAUUUUAUGUAGUAUUACUCUAUUAUAUACCCUUUUAUUCUUCUUUUAUGUGUGCAAAAGGGUAUAUUGGUAAAAAGGGGAAUGGUAGUGAGUUUUUUUUUCACGCAGCUCGUUUUGUAUUAUACUCCUGGGUGUAUGUACUCCCACCUCUAUUAUACCUUUUGGGUGCAUGUAAUAUACUUCUCUAUCAUUUUUAAUAUACUCUAUUACCAAUCACAAGAUAGUACAAAAUGAGUUGCGCGAAUAUACUUCCAUGUAUUUGUAGCAUACUAAAAUUAUCCAAAAUUUGGUUAAUUCAUUGUUAUGUAGCUUAGCCAUAACAUGGCUGGCAAAAAUAGCAGUCCUUGCUUUGAUUUUGUGGUUUAGUUUGAACUUUGAAGAAUCUUGAAUGCCAGUACAUCAAUUCGAUUAACUGUGCAAGUUGAUUGUGAUUGUUGAGCCCAUCAGGCCAUCUGUCUACCCCUCUUGGUUUGUGUCGAAUAAUAUCUAGAAUGAAGACAAUAUAGUUAUCUCAUGAUGUGCAUGAAGACCAACUAACACCACAUGAAAUGUUUUCACGGGUCAAUUUCUUAGCUGGACCUUUCUCAGAUAUCAAUGUCUGACUUCCCAUACGGCCAUACUGUAGUUGUUGACUGAGACUUAAAGUUUACUUGAUAGUUGAUACCCCUCCGUUCAAAAAUCAGGAUUCAACUUCGAUUAAUGUCUAACUAUACAUUGAUUAGUAUAAAAUUAAUACCGAUGAAAAGUUCUUUAAAUACGAAUCAAGUGAUAUCAAUUGUGUAUCAUACAAUACGCGCAAUAUACCCUUCCAAGUUAAAUAGGAAACGUGUGCGCCAUAUAUUUUAGAACGAAGGGAGUAUGAAAGCCCAGUUAAAAUACAGAUCAUAGGAAAGGAGAGGAGGAACAGACAUAAGAUAAGCUGGCAAAAGUGAAUAGUCUCGCCAGGCAAAGCAUUUCCUCGGUUAGAGGGGAGAUUGGCCUGAAAACUGGCGACAACACGUAGGCCUGAAAAUUCAUGAUAAGACUUGAAUUAUUGGAGGGGUACUUUGCUUGUGCUUGCUCCACAUGCAUAGAUGCAUGAAUCCAUCAGAUGCCUGUCCACACCAGUCUUCAACGCUACGUCAUAUCAAGAAUAGAAUAGGAUGAAAAAGCAAUCCUGUUCCUCCAUUAAGUGAUACAAUAAUGCUAGAUACCACAGCUAGCUUAUCCUCUUGCAGAGGUUACUGUAGAAUGAUGUUAUUGGGCAAUGAGAAACAUAUAAUUCAAAAUGGGAGGGCAAAUGAACCUGUAGCCUCUCAAGCGGUUGUACAAAUUGAGGGUUUGCUCAUGAUGUGCAAACAUUGUAUACUUAAAGACCGUCUAUUCAUGUGCGGCAUUUCAGAUAAAAUUUAGUCCCAUCUUUUCGUUCGUGCAUUAUAUUUAUACCUGGCUAGAUGUUGGCUCCUUAACAUAUUAUCGUAUUUCUUAAGUAUACUAUAAUAAGACAUUGACACUAAUAAUUUAAUGAGUAUUUCCUGAUAGACUAACAAACCAAGCUGACAGUUGAAGUCAAAACGUUGAUGCAAACGUAUAGCCAAGCGCAGGUAAAAUAUUCUCAUGAUUGAGCUUUUUGCUUGUCCUGCGGUAGCAUGUGUCCUUAUAACCGAACAACAUAUUUUUUUAAAGAAAUGACAUCCCGUCAAACAGCGUACUGAUUAUAUCUUUUUGUUAAACUAGUAUACAGCAGUAAUCAUUAGGCGAACAGCGAUUGACUAUGACAUCUUUGUGAUAAUAUGCUUAGCUAUUUGUACAUCAAGUAGAUUGCUUCAGAUCAGUUCCUUACAGUUCCAAUGAUACUCAACUAAAGUUUUGCUGCUGAUACAAUUUUCAGUGAAGUGAUCAUUUCAGUCCAAGAUCAUAUAUUUGCAGAAUGAAGUGCUUCAGUGCUCUUACCCUGG